AUUGAAUGGGACAGAAUAGAAUUUAAGUUUUCUUAAGGAAAUAGUAUGAAAUGUAGAAGUGAAGGAAAUGGAAUGAAUAGAACCACACAUGAUUGCAUGGGAGAGAAUAAACAGAACAACCAUGAGAACAGAACAGAAUAGAAUAAGUAUGUGAACAGAAUAGAAUUGAAAGGAAUUGAAUGGGACAGAAUAGAAUAGAAAGGAAUUGAAUGGGACAGAACAGAAUAGAAUAAGUAUGAGAACAGAAUAGAAUAGAAAGGAAUUGAAUAGGAAAGAACAGACUAGAAUAAGUAUAUAUGGAAACAGAAUAGAAUAGAAAGGAAUUGAAUGGGACAGAACAGACUAGAAUAAGUAUGAGAACAUAAAACGAAUAGCUAUGGUUUGUAGUAUACUUGUUCUGUAUAAACAAGUGCUUCUCUGAUACGCACAUAUCUUUUCUCAAGAUGUUCAAAAGCCAUGGACUGAACUACUUCCAAUGUUGAAACACUGUGCAGACCAAGACCAAGCCAUUCUAGAUACACUGGAUUCAUUUAACAGCAAAUUAGAACAACUGCAACAAGGACAAGUCAGUAUUGCAGAAAGUCAGGUCAAACUGCUACAAGGACAGAAGAAUAGUGCAGAAAGUCAGGCCAAACUGCUACAAGGACAGAAAAAUAGUGCAGAAGGUCAAGCCAAACUG
Long non-coding RNA from Actinia tenebrosa (Australian red waratah sea anemone), 679 nucleotides. NCBI's taxonomy places the organism in Eukaryota, Metazoa, Cnidaria, Anthozoa, Actiniaria, Actiniidae. The record is from RefSeq and is a predicted model, not a curated record.